ACGCGGGCGGCCUACUGUCGGGUGUGGCCGCGAGGGGCGGCCUAUAUAAGCUCUUGCUCGCGGCUUCAGCGCCCUUUCUCCCCGCCGCAUUCCCGGUGUCGACUUACUAGCUGCAAGCCUCUGCCUGCCUUCCUGCGCGCCGUUCCCCGCUAGUCGCUGCUGCUGGCGCGCACUCGCCGGGUUUUUCCUCCCACGGCCUCGAGAUGGUGGUGAAUGUGGCACGGAGGAGCCGGGCCUUCCAACCCGGUGGGCCCGAGCUCCGAAAGGCCCCCUCGGCAGUGAGAGGGGCGGGAGCCCGCGGGGGCCGCGCCCUUCUCUCGCUUCGGACUGCGCAACGCUGCGCUCUGGGCUGACAGGCGGAUAAAACGGUCCCAUCAAGACUGAGAAAAAGCACACCAGCUAUUGGCACAGCGUGGGCAGUGGGGCCUACAGGAUGACUGACUUAGUCUACAGAGAUCCCGGCGUACUUAAGCAGAUGAAGACUCUUAAGAUGACAGAAGGUGAUUUUUCUGGUGAUCGAGGACUUCCGGGGUAAUGACAGUGAUGAAAUGCAGGGGACCUGGUAGGUUUCUUUUGGAGACUAACUGGGGGCUGCCUGGUGGGACAGAACAGCAUGUUUCCAAGGGCUGUGGCUGGUCAUAGCCAUGGGAUCUCCAACUGCAUGCAAGAGCAACCUGGAAAGACUUUGACAGCGCAGGUUGGCUAGAUGGGUCUCGAACUUCUGACCUCGGGUGAUCCGCCCGACUCGGCCUCCCCUUCCAAAGUGCUGGGAUUACAGGCAUGAGCCACCGCUCCUGGCCAGUUUAGUUUUCACGCUAAGCUUUUUGUUCUGCAGGUUGCCCCCAAGUUUCCUGGCAGUGUGUGAUACUGAGGAGGUGAGCUUGUUUCUGGAGCUGUGCUUUAAGGUAAAGUUGAUCAGCUUAAUCCUCCUGAUCCCUUUCCCAUCGGAUCUGAACACUGGUCUUGGUGGUCGUAAAAGGAGGAAAAGUAAUAGUGAAGCUGGCCUAAAUGUUGUAAUCUGGUAUAUGGCAUGUGGGCUAGUUUCAGACAGGUUUCAGAGAUGGUUGGAUCUCUGAAAUUGUAAAAUGAAGUAUAAUCUUAGGCUAAGGGAAGGAUGCGUGUGAAGCUCUGGAGGUUGGUAUAGUAAUAGCUGACCUAUUACUGCAUUUGGGAGGGAUCUGUCAUAGCUUCCUUGCCUCUUAAUUAAGGGUGGUGUUUUUUUCUUUUAGAUUCAUGUUACAUGUAAAGCUGUCCUCAUUUGUGACUAUGGACCUAUGGAGUUGGGACAAUCUCUAUGGGAAGCAGAAGGCAAGGACCCCGGUCAUUUUAGGUAGAAACAACAGCAUGCUAAUGCAAAAAAUUAUGCAGUGUGCUACUGAACUUCAGAGGUGAUCAAUAAAAGAAGAAUAAAAAGACUAAUAAAAGUAUAUUUGUGUUUGUAUUUUUUUGUAGAGACCGAACUGGUCUCUU
Molecule: long non-coding RNA, 1470 nt
Filed under: Homo sapiens (human)
Lineage: Eukaryota; Metazoa; Chordata; Mammalia; Primates; Hominidae
Description: HSALNT0003890
Rfam family: Small nucleolar RNA SNORA61 (bases 924-1053)
Source: RNAcentral